This 107-nucleotide ribosomal RNA is filed under the name uncultured bacterium. Its description in RNAcentral is "partial 16S ribosomal RNA". The record is from RNAcentral.
UACGUUCCCGGGUCUUGUACACACCCGCCCCGUCACACCACCGAAAGCCCCGCUGCGACAGAAGUGCCCUCUUUGAGGAUACUAAGUUGUGGUUGGUGAUUGGGGUG